This is a long non-coding RNA of Hyla sarda, 579 nucleotides long. RefSeq lists it as uncharacterized. NCBI's taxonomy places the organism in Eukaryota, Metazoa, Chordata, Amphibia, Anura, Hylidae. The transcript has 3 exons. The record is from RefSeq and is a predicted model, not a curated record.
CCGGCUUCUGUAGGAUCCAGGGAGCCAGCCGCACGACAUCGCCGCCCACCGAUCACCGCAGCUGAUCGCCGCCUCCGCCGCCGCCGAUGGAGAAUGGACCAAUCCUGAGGAGGCUGGACCAUGUGACUGGUCCAUCCAAUGAGUGAAUGAAGUGUCACUGAGAGAGAUCACGUGACCGCCCGAACAGGAAGUACGGGUCUUAUGUGACACCGGAGGGGAAAGUAUGAGAUGACGGACAGGAAGAACGGAGCCAGGUGCAACAAGGCGCAUAUGUGAGGUGCUCCUUUCAAGAUUUCUGACAGAGAUGUAAAAAAGAAUAAUCAGAAGUGUUGUCCAAGAGUCUAGGACCACUUGUGGAGAGUCUGGAAUUAGCAAGGCAAUGAUCCUGAACACAGAGCCAAGGAAACUCUCAAAUGGUUUUAAAGAAAGAAAAUAAAGAUGCUAGAAUGGCCCAGCCAAUUAUCUGACUUAAAUUCUAUUGAACAUCUAUGGAAAGAACUGAAGAUCUUUAAGUCAUAGAAAAGGCCCACAGAACCUUUGAGAUUUGUCAAAAGCCAAUAUGUCUCAAGUGGGAGGUUC